CUGAAACCAAACAAACGGGACAAUCCUGAUAUCGUCUUAGAAAUAACUGUUACAAAUUCGAUGGCAUCCUGAAAUACCAAAGCAGUUUGCAAACUCUUUAGUUGCUGUUAAGAUAUUCACAAAACCGUUUCUUCUGAUUACUUGUCUCCUGGUUGUCCUCAUCACCUUGCAACCUCAUGAAUAUCGAAAAAAAAAAAUAAGUCUAAAACUAUAAGUACUUUUUUACUUGCUAGGCCACUUUGAAAAUCAGUGAAUCACGUGAGAAUCGGAAAGAAAAAUACAUGUUGAAAAUGAUUUGAAGCGAAAA
This is a long non-coding RNA of Daphnia magna, 307 nucleotides long. RefSeq lists it as uncharacterized. The transcript is spliced from 2 exons. The record is from RefSeq and is a predicted model, not a curated record. NCBI's taxonomy places the organism in Eukaryota, Metazoa, Arthropoda, Branchiopoda, Diplostraca, Daphniidae.